CGACGACGACGACGGACCCUCGCCGCUUCCAGACGCCAAAGAAAGGUCCGGCUCCAUUGCGGUCAACUAAUAUCGCCGAUUUCUGAGCCAAGUCAACUCCAUUGAAUGCGACGUAGGUCACACAGGUGGCGGCUACGAUGCAGAGAGGCAGAGGUACAAAGGACCGUAGGAUGGAAAUACCCCAGGAAACAGGACAUUCUACGCAGACCGGUGCGACACCCGGGGGGCCUUCGAGCCCCCCAGCGGCUCCCGGAGAGCAGCUCCAUGGGCAGAGGACGAGAGUCGAGGGGAAGCGUCCCGAGGCGAAAGGCGUACAGCUGCGCGGCUGCGGGGCGGGAAAAACUGUAAGCGGGCGCUGCGCGAAAUGUCUGACAGGCUGAGAAUCAGCAACCGGUACGCGUCCUCCGUCCGCCGGCCCUUCACCUGUGACAGCCUUUAACAAAGCGAGAGACUGUCCACACUGGAGAGGGCUGUUUGCUGAUGUCGAUGAAAAGAGUUCACAGAAAGCAGCUGACCUCAUGACCUACUCAUUAUGUGCUGUGAAUGUUGGCAUUGAUAGCCCAAUAUGCACACUCUCUGCAGCUGUUGGAUUUAUAUAAUUUUGAUGCACAAGCCUGACAUUGACAUACCCGAAAUAAAAUGGCUCUUGAACCCUUUCGAAUACAGCCCUGACCCUGGUCUCUUCUCAAAGGGGAGUGUCGGAGUUUACUAUCCGACAUUUCGGGGUACCGAAACAAAUUUACAAAUGCACAAACACAAAUUUGCCUAUUUAGCUGUUUUGUGUUCCGUCCUAUUAGAAAAUAGGUAACCGUUGCCUAUGAGACACGUGGAUUUUAAAAUUACUUCCGCAGACAUUAUUGUGAGGCUUUAUUC
This is a long non-coding RNA of Xiphias gladius (swordfish), 873 nucleotides long. RefSeq lists it as uncharacterized. Lineage: Eukaryota; Metazoa; Chordata; Actinopteri; Istiophoriformes; Xiphiidae. The transcript has 4 exons. The record is from RefSeq and is a predicted model, not a curated record.